This 492-nucleotide ribosomal RNA is filed under the name uncultured bacterium. RNAcentral describes it as "partial 16S ribosomal RNA". It matches the Rfam family "Bacterial small subunit ribosomal RNA", at positions 29 to 507 of the family's 1533-position model. The record is from RNAcentral.
AGUGAACGCUGGCGGUAGGCCUAACACAUGCAAGUCGAACGGCAGCACAGUAAGAGCUUGCUCUUACGGGUGGCGAGUGGCGGACGGGUGAGGAAUACAUCGGAAUCUACUUUUUCGUGGGGGAUAACGUAGGGAAACUUACGCUAAUACCGCAUACGACCUACGGGUGAAAGCAGCGGAGCUUCGGACCUUGCGCGAUUGUAUGAGCCGAUGUCGGAUUAGCGAGUUGGCGGGGUAAAGGCCCACCAAGGCGACGAUCCGUAGCUGGUCUGAGAGGAUGAUCAGCCACACUGGAACUGAGACACGGUCCAGACUCCUACGGGAGGCAGCAGUGGGGAAUAUUGGACAAUGGGCGCAAGCCUGAUCCAGCCAUACCGCGUGGGUGAAGAAGGCCUUCGGGUUGUAAAGCCCUUUUGUUGGGAAAGAAAAGCAGCAGGUUAAUACCCCGCUGUUCUGACGGUACCCAAAGAAUAAGCACCGGCUAACUUCGUG